Molecule: ribosomal RNA, 495 nt
Filed under: uncultured bacterium
Lineage: Bacteria
Description: partial 16S ribosomal RNA
Rfam family: Bacterial small subunit ribosomal RNA
Source: RNAcentral
GACGAACGCUGGCGGCGUGCCUAAUACAUGCAAGUCGAACGCUGAAGGAGGAGCUUGCUUCUCUGGAUGAGUUGCGAACGGGUGAGUAACGCGUAGGUAACCUGCCUGGUAGCGGGGGAUAACUAUUGGAAACGAUAGCUAAUACCGCAUAAGAUUGACUAUUGCAUGAUAGUCAGUUAAAAGGUGCAAUUGCAUCACUACCAGAUGGACCUGCGUUGUAUUAGCUAGUUGGUGGGGUAACGGCUCACCAAGGCGACGAUACAUAGCCGACCUGAGAGGGUGAUCGGCCACACUGGGACUGAGACACGGCCCAGACUCCUACGGGAGGCAGCAGUAGGGAAUCUUCGGCAAUGGACGGAAGUCUGACCGAGCAACGCCGCGUGAGUGAAGAAGGUUUUCGGAUCGUAAAGCUCUGUUGUAAGAGAAGAACGAGUGUGAGAGUGGAAAGUUCACACUGUGACGGUAGCUUACCAGAAAGGGACGGCUAACUACGUG